This is a non-coding RNA of Zootermopsis nevadensis, 692 nucleotides long. NCBI's taxonomy places the organism in Eukaryota, Metazoa, Arthropoda, Insecta, Blattodea, Termopsidae. The record is from RefSeq and is a predicted model, not a curated record.
AGUGCAGUACUGACAAGUGUUUGUUAAGUCGUGCAAGUUAUUUAUGUGCUGAACAUGUAGCACGCACGGGGAAAGGCAAGAGGUAAGUGGUUGCAACUACAGCCCUCAGAAAUGCAGUGCCCGGGUAAUGAACCCAGAAUAUUUCACUGCAAGUCACGUGAUGUCUCUGCCGCAGAACUGCAGUUGUCACAGGUGAAAAGGGGUGACAUCUACUCGGAUCCGUUAGACCGAACUGUUUUCGGGUAAUGCCGAAUCCAACGGAGAAUGUCGGCAUGGUUAAUUCCUUCAAAAAAUAUUCAAAGCACGAUGGAUGAAGCGGAAAACGAAGACACCAUCGCCAAAGGCACUAAGGGACAGAAAAAGUUCGCAACUUUGAUUUCACACGUUAGGAAAUUUAUUGAAAUUUUGAUAAUGUCUCUUCAGCUGGAAUUUAAGACGCCAAGGAUACAAUAUCGGUAUCUGUAAUUACGUAACACGUAAAGCGACAGUAUAGCACAAACUUUUGUUUAACAACCAACUCCAUGUAUCAGACCCCUUCUAUAAAUCUGAUUAUCAGCUAGUUAUAUUUCCCGCCUUUUAUGGAACCAUCACACUCAUUACCGUAUUGACAAGAACCAGCCAUCGUUCCAUAUCCGGAGCCAGCUUAAUCCAACCCAUGUCCGUCUCAUUUCCGCAAGAUCCUCUUAGAUCUU